AUUGAACGCUGGCGGCGUGCUUAACACAUGCAAGUCGAGCGGUAACGCGGGGGCAACCCUGGCGACGAGCGGCGAACGGGUGAGUAAAGCUUCGGAAUCUUCCUAGUAGUGGGGAAUAACCUGGGGAAACUCAGGCUAAUACCGCAUACGAACUACGGUUGAAAGCAGGGGAUCGCAAGACCUUGCGCUAUUAGAUGAGCCGAAGUCGGAUUAGCUAGUUGGUGAGGUAAAGGCUCACCAAGGCGACGAUCCGUAGCUGGUCUGAGAGGACGACCAGCCACACUGGGACUGAGACACGGCCCAGACUCCUACGGGAGGCAGCAGUGGGGAAUAUUGGACAAUGGGGGCAACCCUGAUCCAGCGACGCCGCGUGUGUGAAGAAGGCCUGCGGGUUGUAAAGCACUUUUAGUGGGGAUGAAAAGCCGAGGGCUAAUACCUUUCGGUCUUGACCUAACCCAAAGAAAAAGCACCGGCUAACUCUGUG
This 484-nucleotide ribosomal RNA is filed under the name uncultured bacterium. RNAcentral's name for it is "bacterial SSU rRNA". It matches the Rfam family "Bacterial small subunit ribosomal RNA", at positions 30 to 507 of the family's 1533-position model. The record is from RNAcentral.